Molecule: long non-coding RNA, 1254 nt
Organism: Mesocricetus auratus (golden hamster)
Lineage: Eukaryota; Metazoa; Chordata; Mammalia; Rodentia; Cricetidae
Exons: 2
Source: RefSeq, a predicted model, not a curated record
ACAGCAGAAGAGAGCUGACUCCACAGAGUUGUCCUCUGACCUCCACGUCUGGGCCGCCGCAGGUGUGCUCGCCUGCCCACCAUAAUAAAAUGGAAAUCCUGAAGAAAAAGAGAAAGGAGAAGGAAUGCGUUUCCUGGUAAAGAAUACUUCAUGGGCCUCUGCUGGCCAUGCUUAGCUUUGCAGUCUGUGGACUCCCGAGACUCCUCUCCACACCUCCCGGAGCAGCCGAAGCCCCAAGUGUAUCCCAAGCGUUGGAAGCAAAUGGCUUGCAGCCUGAACCAGUGGAGGAUGGGGCUUCAUCCUCAAGUCCUCCAAAGUAUUAACUGCCCUGGUGGAAGGAUGCACUGGGCAUGGGUUAGUCUUUACACACUUCUUGGCCUGAGCCAAACCCCCUGCCAGGGGGUUUGUGAGCAUCUAUGCCUUCGCCACUCUUCACAGCUGCCUCUAAAUGCUGCCUCUCAUCUUGGAGCCAUGGCAGGUUAAGUUCAGACUCCCUGAUAUGUGGUGGUUCCUUGUUCUCCUGCCCAUAGGAUAUCUCAGUUUGAAACAGAGGAUUCACUCCCAAGGCGGUGUCUGGCCACCACACCCUGAGUCACAUGGAAUGAAGAAAUGGAUCUCUCUCUAGUGGCAGGUCUCUACAGGAACCACCGUCUCACUGAAACCCGAGCUUGCAUUUGGAGCCGGUAUAGCUAUGGACACAUCCUUAGGCCAGGGCUGCUCCUCUGUUUCACCGCGUCUUCUGGCUCGUCUUCUGGACCAGGCUUUUGCUUCCCUUCCCAGACCAGAGAGAGAGGGAGCGAGGGGCAGGCUGCCGCUGAGUCCUGCCAGGCUUACUUUUCUGUGUGUUGUCUUUUUGCUACAUCUUCCCAGUGACCUGUCGUUGUUCCUCUUGUGAAUUCCAGAAGCUCCUUUCCCUCUCUUUGGAAGGAUUGGUGCUUUGUACUGUUGACUUUUUUGUACCAGGUCACUUGAAGGCAGCAUCUCCUUCAUCAUCUCACCCAGAAGUCCUGCUCAUUUUUUGACUUUGGACACUUCCCCUGCCCCAUCUAAAGCCUUUGGUUUUAUUUUUAAUAUGAUCAAUGCAGGAGCAUUAGGAUAAUCUUUUCAGAUAAUUGUGCACACUGUCCAGCUCUGUUCCCAAGUUUGACAAGUGGCCAGUUGUUAAGAGAAGCUUUUUCCUUGAGAGAAGCCUUCCCGCCAGCUUGGUUCUAGAGCCACAUCAGUCCCAAAUAAACACACAGGAGGCUAUAUUAA